UAAGCGACUAAGCGUACACGGUGGAUGCCCUGGCAGUCAGAGGCGAUGAAGGACGUGCUAAUCUGCGAAAAGCGCCGGCGAGGUGAUAUGAACCUUUGACCCGGCGAUGUCCGAAUGGGGAAACCCAGUGCAAUCCGUUGCACUAUCGUUAACUGAAUACAUAGGUUAACGAGGCGAACCGGGGGAACUGAAACAUCUAAGUACCCCGAGGAAAAGAAAUCAACCGAGAUUCCCCCAGUAGCGGCGAGCGAACGGGGAGCAGCCCGGAGUCUGAAUCAGCUUGUGUGUUAGUGGAACGGUCUGGAAAGUCCGACGGUACAGGGUGAUAGUCCCGUACACGAAAGCACACAUGCUGUGAACUCGAAGAGUAGGGCGGGACACGUGGUAUCCUGUCUGAAUAUGGGGGGACCAUCCUCCAAGGCUAAAUACUCCUGACUGACCGAUAGUGAACCAGUACCGUGAGGGAAAGGCGAAAAGAACCCCGGCGAGGGGAGUGAAAAAGAACCUGAAACCGUGUACGUACAAGCAGUGGGAGCCUCUUUAUGGGGUGACUGCGUACCUUUUGUAUAAUGGGUCAGCGACUUAUAUUCUGUAGCAAGGUUAACCGUAUAGGGGAGCCGAAGGGAAACCGAGUCUUAACUGGGCGUUAAGUUGCAGGGUAUAGACCCGAAACCCGGUGAUCUAGCCAUGGGCAGGUUGAAGGUUGGGUAACACUAACUGGAGGACCGAACCGACUAAUGUUGAAAAAUUAGCGGAUGACCUGUGGCUGGGGGUGAAAGGCCAAUCAAACCGGGAGAUAGCUGGUUCUCCCCGAAAGCUAUUUAGGUAGCGCCUCGUGAACUCAUCUUCGGGGGUAGAGCACUGUUUCGGCUAGGGGGCCAUCCCGGCUUACCAACCCGAUGCAAACUACGAAUACCGAAGAAUGUUAUCACGGGAGACACACGGCGGGUGCUAACGUCCGUCGUGAAGAGGGAAACAACCCAGACCGCCAGCUAAGGUCCCAAAGUCAUGGUUAAGUGGGAAACGAUGUGGGAAGGCACAGACAGCCAGGAUGUUGGCUUAGAAGCAGCCAUCAUUUAAAGAAAGCGUAAUAGCUCACUGGUCGAGUCGGCCUGCGCGGAAGAUGUAACGGGGCUAAACCAUGCACCGAAGCUGCGGCAGCGACGCUUAUGCGUUGUUGGGUAGGGGAGCGUUCUGUAAGCCGUUGAAGGUGUCCUGUGAGGGGUGCUGGAGGUAUCAGAAGUGCGAAUGCUGACAUAAGUAACGAUAAAGCGGGUGAAAAGCCCGCUCGCCGGAAGACCAAGGGUUCCUGUCCAACGUUAAUCGGGGCAGGGUGAGUCGACCCCUAAGGCGAGGCCGAAAGGCGUAGUCGAUGGGAAACAGGUUAAUAUUCCUGUACUUGGUGUUACUGCGAAGGGGGGACGGAGAAGGCUAUGUCAGCCGGGCGACGGUUGUCCCGGUUUAAGCAUGUAGGCGGAGGUUCCAGGUAAAUCCGGUACCUUGUUAACGCUGAGGUGUGAUGACGAGGCACUACGGUGCUGAAGUGAUAAAUGCCCUGCUUCCAGGAAAAGCCUCUAAGCAUCAGGUAACACGAAAUCGUACCCCAAACCGACACAGGUGGUCAGGUAGAGAAUACCAAGGCGCUUGAGAGAACUCGGGUGAAGGAACUAGGCAAAAUGGUGCCGUAACUUCGGGAGAAGGCACGCUGAUGUGUAGGUGAAGUCCCUGCGGACGGAGCUGAAAUCAGUCGAAGAUACCAGCUGGCUGCAACUGUUUAUUAAAAACACAGCACUGUGCAAACACGAAAGUGGACGUAUACGGUGUGACGCCUGCCCGGUGCCGGAAGGUUAAUUGAUGGGGUUAGCGGCAACGCGAAGCUCUUGAUCGAAGCCCCGGUAAACGGCGGCCGUAACUAUAACGGUCCUAAGGUAGCGAAAUUCCUUGUCGGGUAAGUUCCGACCUGCACGAAUGGCGUAAUGAUGGCCAGGCUGUCUCCACCCGAGACUCAGUGAAAUUGAACUCGCUGUGAAGAUGCAGUGUACCCGCGGCAAGACGGAAAGACCCCGUGAACCUUUACUAUAGCUUGACACUGAACACUGGUCCUUGAUGUGUAGGAUAGGUGGGAGGCUUUGAAGCGUGGACGCCAGUCUGCGUGGAGCCAACCUUGAAAUACCACCCUUUAAUGGCUGGUGUUCUAACGUAGACCCGUAAUCCGGGUUGCGGACAGUGUCUGGUGGGUAGUUUGACUGGGGCGGUCUCCUCCCAAAGAGUAACGGAGGAGCACGAAGGUUGGCUAAUCCUGGUCGGACAUCAGGAGGUUAGUGCAAUGGCAUAAGCCAGCUUGACUGCGAGCGUGACGGCGCGAGCAGGUGCGAAAGCAGGUCAUAGUGAUCCGGUGGUUCUGAAUGGAAGGGCCAUCGCUCAACGGAUAAAAGGUACUCCGGGGAUAACAGGCUGAUACCGCCCAAGAGUUCAUAUCGACGGCGGUGUUUGGCACCUCGAUGUCGGCUCAUCACAUCCUGGGGCUGAAGUAGGUCCCAAGGGUAUGGCUGUUCGCCAUUUAAAGUGGUACGCGAGCUGGGUUUAGAACGUCGUGAGACAGUUCGGUCCCUAUCUGCCGUGGGCGCUGGAGAAUUGAGGGGGGCUGCUCCUAGUACGAGAGGACCGGAGUGGACGCAUCACUGGUGUUCGGGUUGUCAUGCCAAUGGCACUGCCCGGUAGCUAAAUGCGGAAGAGAUAAGUGCUGAAAGCAUCUAAGCACGAAACUUGCCCCGAGAUGAGUUCUCCCUGAGACCUUGAGUCUCCUGAAGGAACGUUGAAGACGACGACGUUGAUAGGUCGGGUGUGUAAGCGCAGCGAUGCGUUGAGCUAACCGAUACUAAUGAACCGUGAGGCUUAACCU
Molecule: ribosomal RNA, 2902 nt
Filed under: Enterobacter hormaechei subsp. hoffmannii
Lineage: Bacteria; Pseudomonadati; Pseudomonadota; Gammaproteobacteria; Enterobacterales; Enterobacteriaceae
Description: bacterial LSU rRNA
Rfam family: Bacterial large subunit ribosomal RNA
Source: RNAcentral